Molecule: ribosomal RNA, 253 nt
Filed under: uncultured bacterium
Lineage: Bacteria
Description: partial 16S ribosomal RNA
Rfam family: Bacterial small subunit ribosomal RNA
Source: RNAcentral
UACAGAGGGUGCGAGCGUUGUCCGGAAUCACUGGGCGUAAAGGGCUCGUAGGCGGCCAACUAAGUCAUACGUGAAAUCCCUCGGCUUAACCGGGGAACUGCGUCUGAUACUGGAUGGCUUGAGAUUGGGAGAGGGAUGCGGAAUUCCAGGUGUAGCGGUGAAAUGCGUAAAUAUCUGGAGGAACACCGGUGGCGAAGGCGGCAUCCUGGACCAACACUGACGCUGAGGAGCGAAAGCCAGGGGAGCAAACGGG